This 486-nucleotide ribosomal RNA is filed under the name uncultured bacterium. RNAcentral's name for it is "partial 16S ribosomal RNA". It matches the Rfam family "Bacterial small subunit ribosomal RNA", at positions 30 to 507 of the family's 1533-position model. The record is from RNAcentral.
AUUGAACGCUGGCGGCAUGCCUUACACAUGCAAGUCGAACGGCAGCACGGGUGCUUGCACCUGGUGGCGAGUGGCGAACGGGUGAGUAAUACAUCGGAACAUGUCCUGUAGUGGGGGAUAGCCCGGCGAAAGCCGGAUUAAUACCGCAUACGAUCUACGGAUGAAAGCGGGGGACCUUCGGGCCUCGCGCUAUAGGGUUGGCCGAUAGCUGAUUAGCUAGUUGGUGGGGUAAAGGCCUACCAAGGCGACGAUCAGUAGCUGGUCUGAGAGGACGACCAGCCACACUGGGACUGAGACACGGCCCAGACUCCUACGGGAGGCAGCAGUGGGGAAUUUUGGACAAUGGGCGAAAGCCUGAUCCAGCAAUGCCGCGUGUGUGAAGAAGGCCUUCGGGUUGUAAAGCACUUUUGUCCGGAAAGAAAUCCUUGGCCCUAAUACAGUCGGGGGAUGACGGUACCGGAAGAAUAAGCACCGGCUAACUACGUG